Molecule: long non-coding RNA, 542 nt
Filed under: Olea europaea (common olive)
Lineage: Eukaryota; Viridiplantae; Streptophyta; Magnoliopsida; Lamiales; Oleaceae
Description: long non-coding RNA (OEUR_LNC015632)
Source: RNAcentral
UGUGAGUCACUAAAAACUGUAUAUAGUCGAGAUCAAGAGCAAUGAUGACUAUUCAAUCUCAUUAAUGGUAGUCCCUAAUUCAAAUUUUAGAGCAUAUUAUAUCUCUGUAAGUUUGUCUGGGCUAUAAUUAUGACCCCAGCACCGAGGCUUGAGGACUUGAAGGCUUCGUCAACAUAUAACUCCCAUAUGUCCAUGAUGUUAAAAGGGCUUAUUUCCCUUUGCCCCCAAGGAUUUAGGAUGAGUUCUACUAUAAAGUCUACCAAGCCUGAGCUUCAAUUGAAAGUCGAGGUUUUGAAUUUUGUGUUAAAUUUACGAAGUUCGAUUAUCCAUUUCAGUAACAUUCUCGAGGUGUUAGCUUUUGUAGUAUGUCCUUGAGCGACUUGUUUGUAAGCACUAUGGUGGAAUGAGAUUGGAAAUAUUGUCUUAGUGUUUGUGCUGUCAUGACCCGGGCAAGAGCAAGCUUUUGCUCACAUAAUAGAUUGUUUGUUGAGCCUUGUUAACUUCUUUCACCAACACAUCACUUACGUAUUUUGGGAAAUGGC